RNAcentral lists this ribosomal RNA (488 nucleotides) under uncultured bacterium. RNAcentral describes it as "partial 16S ribosomal RNA". It matches the Rfam family "Bacterial small subunit ribosomal RNA", at positions 30 to 507 of the family's 1533-position model. The record is from RNAcentral.
AUUGAACGCUGGCGGCAUGCUUUACACAUGCGAGUCGAACGGCAGCACAGGGAGCUUGCUCCUGGGUGGCGAGUGGCGAACGGGUGAGUAAUGUAUCGGAACGUGCCUGGUAGUGGGGGAUAACUACUCGAAAGAGUGGCUAAUACCGCAUGAGAUCUUUGGAUGAAAGCGGGGGACCUUCGGGCCUCGUGCUACUGGAGCGGCCGAUAUCAGAUUAGGUUGUUGGUGGGGUAAAGGCCUACCAAGCCUGCGAUCUGUAGCUGGUCUGAGGGGACGACCAGCCACACUGGGACUGAGACACGGCCCAGACUCCUACGGGAGGCAGCAGUGGGGAAUUUUGGACAAUGGGCGCAAGCCUGAUCCAGCAAUGCCGCGUGCAGGACGAAGGCCUUCGGGUUGUAAACUGCUUUUGUACAGAACGAAAAGUCUCUGGCUAAUAUCUAGAGAUCAUGACGGUACUGUAAGAAUAAGCACCGGCUAACUACGUG